This 635-nucleotide ribosomal RNA is filed under the name uncultured Methanolobus sp. RNAcentral's name for it is "bacterial SSU rRNA". It matches the Rfam family "Archaeal small subunit ribosomal RNA", at positions 338 to 966 of the family's 1478-position model. The record is from RNAcentral. Lineage: Archaea; Methanobacteriati; Methanobacteriota; Methanomicrobia; Methanosarcinales; Methanosarcinaceae.
UAUAUUCUUUUAUUACAAUCGCAGGAGAAACCCGCGAUAAGGGGACACUGAGUGCCAGCAUCUUAGAUUGGCUGUCCGCAUGUUUAAAAAGCAUGUGUUAGUAAGGGCUGGGCAAGACCGGUGCCAGCCGCCGCGGUAACACCGGCAGCCCGAGGGGGGAUCACUAUUAUUGGGUCUAAAGGGUCCGUAGCCGGUUUGAUCAGUCUUUUGGGAAAUCUGACAGCUUAACUGUUAGGCUUCCAAAGGAUACUGUCAAACUUGGGACCGGGAGAGGUAAGAGGUACUACAGGGGUAGGAGGGAAAUCUGGUAAUCCCUGUGGGACCACCAGUGGGGAAGGCGUCUUACCAAAACGGGUCCGACGGGGAGGGACAAAAGCUGGGGGCACAAACCGGAUUAGAUACCCGGGUAGUCCCAGCCGUAAACAAUGCUCGCUAGGUGUCAGGAAUGGGGCGACCGUUUCUGGGGCCGUAGGGAAGCCGUGAAGCGAGCCACCUGGAAGGUACGGCCGCAGGGUUGAAACUUAAAGGAAUUGGGGGGGGAAAGGGCGAAUUCGUUUAAACCUGCGGGAUUAGUCCCUUUUAGUGGGGGUUAUUUCUGAGCUUGGGGAAAUCUGGGCCAUAGCUGUUUUCUGGAG